GGCGGGGCUGCCGCCCGCGCGGACACGUCACCGGGGGGGGGAGGGAGGCGGUCCGCGGUCCCCGAGCUCAGGGCGCGGCCGGGCUCCCCCCAGGGGCUGCCGCGGCGCCUGCGCAGAGCCAGCCCGGGCCCGCCCCCAGGCCCGGUCACUGGGCGGCCCGCUGCCGACGUGGCCGCAGUCACGGGCUGAAGCCGCGUUCUCCGCCGGCGCGCGAACCAAGUGCCCCCUCCAGCCGGGGCAUAAAUAACGCACGAGCAAGUCCAGUCCGUCGGAGCUGCGCGGGCCGCGUGACCCCGCUCGGCGCUGAGGCCAUUUCCAACGGAAAACCUUUAUUAGCCCCCGGCUAUUUCCACCGGUCCCCCCGCCCCGCGCCUGCGCGCCUUAACAGCCCAGUCCCUGACGAGUGACGGCAGCGAACCUCACCGACGUUUAACUCUGAAAUCGGUUUAAAUGUGAGCUACAGCCUGUGUUUCAUUUAACCAGCUCCCAGGCCUGCUGUUAAUAGGGACAGAACAGCUGCAUAAUUCCCCUCACUUGGGAGAAAAUUCCUCCUUGAAACAUAUUUCUUCACUAUCACCUUCAAAUAAUCCUCCUCCACUGCGAAGUACCUGGGGUAUAUGGAGGGGAGAAUAUCCACUGGCAGUUGAGCGAGUAGACUGGGUCUGGGCAGUGUUGUCUGUCCACUUUAGCUUAUGACCACCUAAGGUUCUGCUCCAGCAUAUGCAUCCUGAUGUGACACUACCCCUCAACGCAAAACCCACAGAUGGCAAGUAAGAACAGGAUGAGGGUGGUGCUGUAUGAGUGCAGGGUGAAGAGUCUACACAGACAAGCAGGACUGGGCACAACCAAAAGCAGUGCUACAGAUGAUACAUGUUCUUACUUGGAUACCCAGAACCUUGCACACUGUGUCUCCAUGCAACAAUGUAAUUGGAAAGUGACACCAGCGAGAGAAUGGACCCAGCGCAGAUAAACCCCAAAGGAAAGGAAAGAUCAUUACUUGACCAGGUGAAA
Molecule: long non-coding RNA, 1011 nt
Organism: Malaclemys terrapin pileata
Lineage: Eukaryota; Metazoa; Chordata; Testudines; Emydidae
Exons: 4
Source: RefSeq, a predicted model, not a curated record